RNAcentral lists this ribosomal RNA (766 nucleotides) under uncultured bacterium. RNAcentral's name for it is "bacterial SSU rRNA". It matches the Rfam family "Bacterial small subunit ribosomal RNA", at positions 51 to 799 of the family's 1533-position model. The record is from RNAcentral.
UAUCAUGCAAGUCGAGCGAACAGACGAGGAGCUUGCUCCUCUGACGUUAGCGGCGGACGGGUGAGUAGCACGUGGAUAACCUACCUAUAAGACUGGGAUAGCUUCGGGAAACCGGAGCUAAUACCGGAUAAUAUAUUGAACCGCAUGGUCCAAUAGUGAAAGACGGUUUUGCUGUCACUUAUAGAUGGAUCCGCGCCGCAUUAGCUAGUUGGUAAGGUAACGGCUUACCAAGACAACGAUGCGUAGCCGACCUGAGAGGGUGAUCGGCCACACUGGAACUGAGACACGGUCCAGACUCCUACGGGAGGCAGCAGUAGGGAAUCUUCCGCAAUGGGCGAAAGCCUGACGGAGCAACGCCGCGUGAGUGAUGAAGGUCUUCGGAUCGUAAAACUCUGCUACUAGGGAAGAACAAAUGUGUAAGUAACUAUGCACGUCUUGACGGUACCUAAUCAGAAAGCCACGGCUAACUACGUGCCAGCAGCCGCGGUAAUACGUAGGUGGCAAGCGUUAUCCGGAAUUAUUGGGCGUAAAGCGCGCGUAGGUGGUUUUUUAAGUCUGAUAUGAAAGCCCACGGCUCAACCGUGGAGGGUCAUUGGAAACUGGAAAACUUGAGUGCAGAAGAGGAAAGUGGAAUUCCAUGUGUAGCGGUGAAAUGCGCAGAGAUAUGGAGGAACACCAGUGGCGAAAGCGACUUUCUGGUCUGUAACUGACGCUGAUGUGCGAAAGCGUGGAGAUCAAACAGGAUUAGAUACCCUGGUAGUCCACG